AUGAAACUAUCUAGAUAGAUUACAUAAGGAAAACCAAGUAUAUCUGGACAAAUAAUAAUAAUGUAUUCUUGAAGGGGAUAAAUAUAAAAGAUAUUGCAUUCAAUUUACAAAGUUGCUGCUUAAAAUUGAUAGGUUGCUUGUACUGGAAAAUAGGGCACCUGUAAUCUUUUCAAGUUGGAACCUGUGUUCAUGGGUAGCCUAUUAGUUUCAUCUGUGAAGAAGCCUUGAACCCAUUUGGAGUUCCCAGCUGAGGCUCUGAUUUCUGAGGAUGCAAUUACAGUGUGUCCUGCUGAAGACUGCUACUGAUCAAGUGGGCUUGUUGUCCUCAGCAGCUACAGAGCAUCUGUGCAUGGCAUCAUGCCAGUGCCACCUGUCCUCACUGAAGGCAAGGGUAAUUGGACUUGCACAAUCAAUAUGGAGCAACUGAUAAUGUGGAGUGACAGAUUUUGACACUGGGUUGGAUCCAGAGGUGCCCUUCUGGAAGUAGAAGGCCUUUUCCUGACUUUUCUUUGCAUGAGAAAAGAGAACUAAAAUCCAGUGGUGUGCUUCUGUUAGGACAAGAAUUGCUUGGGAGCCAUCCUAACAUUCUGUGGAGGGCAACCGAGUGGCUAUAGGAUGCCACAGAAAGUUUCUCUUUGCAGUUAGAGAGGGAGGACUGUGGUCAUAGGAGGAGAUCUUCCACCAGAGGCUUCCUCAUUGCAGUGGUGGAAAGUUCUGGUGCCACUGGUGCUUUAACACAAAGACCAAGGUGGCAGCAUACUUGUGGUUCACAGGCAGUUUCCCAUUCUGUCACUGACCAGACCAGAUGUGCUUACCUUCGCCAAGGUGGUGACCUCAUGUGCCUUCAGACCAUAAUCUUCUGUUGGUAAACAUCCCCCACUACUCUGCUGCCACACUCUGGGCCAACUGAAGUUUCUGCAUUGCCUUUAUGGAUAACCCCAUGAGUACUGCAUUACAGUAGUCCUGUCAAGAUGGUAACUAGGUGUAACAGAAGGGCAACACUCAUGGUGAUCUUGUGAAGCUGAGAAGUACCAUUCAUGUUAUUUACUUCUGGAUAGCAUCACCACCACUUCUCCUCUAAAAACCACCAAAUUUGGGGUUGGGGGAGAAAUUCAAGCCUUAUGGUGAUUGUGAAGAUCCAAGAAGGAGGAAUACUUUUAGCAAAUUCUCACUUGUUUACAAGCAGCCAGAAUCCAACCUGUAAUCCCCAGUUCCUCUACUUAUCCUGAAUGGCAAGUGAGUGGGAGAAAUUUUAGGCUGUAGGACAUUUGAUCAUACAAUCAGAGGCUCAGUUUAAUUUUUUUUUAAUUCAAAGGAUUCCAUAUAAAGGAAGCAGAGAAAUAGCAACUACAUAAAAAGAAAGUAAAUCAGUGGUAGUGCAGUUCUUAACCUAAAGACCAUUACAAUCACAACUUAAUUCAAUAGACUUGCAGCCUCCAAUGAUGAGGGAUGAUUUCAGGACCUGAUCCUGAGCAGCUUCAGUUGAACAGAAAUGGAAAUAGAGAGAGCCCAUCUCAAGCUAUUUCUUUUUAAAAUGAUUUCCAGAAGGGGGGAUGGAUAGGCAAAUGGGUCAGCAGCAGCAGCACCAGCAGCAGCCAGUCAGAGAGGAUUUUGGUUCAUUCAGUCUGCACUGAAUUUCAGGUGAAAAAUAGUAUCUGGCAGGGCCAGGGAAAUAAUCAAGAAAAGGUGUAAAGUGGAGAUUUUUCUCUUUUCUUCCUGCCAGACGUUUCUUUGUGUAUUGGGCAGUACAGCAACAGCUCAGUGCCUACGUCAGGGAUGGGGAACCUGCAGCCCUCUAGAUGUUGUUGGACUCGCACACCUAUCAGUCCCUGCCAGCAUGGCCAAUGGUCAGGGUUGAUGGGAUUGAGAAUACAGCAACAUCUGGAGAGUCACAGAUAUGGAAAUGGACUGCCUUCAUGUCGAUCCCGACUUAUGGUGACCCUUUGAAUAGGGUUUUCAUGGUAAGUGGUAUUCAGAGGGGGUUUACUAUUGCCUCCCUCGGAGGCUGAGAGGCAGUGACUGUCCUGUUCAGAGCGGGAUUCACGAGGCUGAGACGCAGGUGCAAUCAAAUCUUGUUUUAUUAAAGUAAUGGAUACAUCAAAAGCAGUGCGCUUCAUAGAAAUCUCUAAGUUAGCUCACUAGAAGUCCCUAACUGCACUCUAGACAUGCUCUGCAACACGUGUAGAAAGUUAACUCAGCAAUGUAACCCAGAGAGCUGCAGUCUUAAGUAGGGAAAGUUUUAGAUCGUAAUCUCUGACUCCUUCGCAAAUCCUGCCUCUGUCCUGUCUGCUUCUCAUGGCAUUGAGAGUGGGGUGACGGGGUGUGUGCUUCCAACGGCUCGUCCGAAAGAACCGUCUCCUUAGCAAAUGGCUCGAGGUCAGGGGGCAGUGAUGUGCUUGGGGCAUCUCAAGAACCACUUGGUAAAGGGGGAGUCAUCACCCCCUCUGUGACAUCUUCCAAUGGCUCCUCCAACCUGUCUGGGGGCGGCGCGCUCUCCGCUUCCAAGACCGUGCCAUCCGUGGGAAUUGGCCCGGAGUCAAACUCACUCCCCCUUCCAAGGUCUUGCUCAGACUCAACAAUUCCUUGGUCUUCCGUGCCCUCUGACAGCUGGGAAACCUGGAACUCAUGUCUCCCCCCCUCCCUGGCCCUCGUGAGGCAGCGGAGGCUCAACAGAGACUGGUCCAAGGUCAGCCAGUGAGCUUCAUGGAUGUUGGGGAUUCGAACCCUGGUCUCCCAGGUCGUAGUCAAGCACCCUAACCGCUACACCACACUGGCUCUCACAGAUAUGGACAGAGGAGGAAUUGAUUUUAAAUGGAUUUAUAUAUGAAAUCUGGUGGUUCCAUCACAAUCGAGCUUUGCCUGCAUUAGAUUGCCUCUUGCAUCAAGCUCCUGCUUAUGUCCAAGCUGUUCAUGUAUUUUUUAAAAGCCUGACUAUAUGCAAAAUUAUACACAAAAAUAUGUAUUUUAUUCAGUACUAUAUUUUUGCAGCAUAAUUC
Molecule: long non-coding RNA, 2996 nt
Organism: Rhineura floridana
Lineage: Eukaryota; Metazoa; Chordata; Lepidosauria; Squamata; Rhineuridae
Exons: 4
Source: RefSeq, a predicted model, not a curated record